This 946-nucleotide long non-coding RNA is filed under the name Coturnix japonica (Japanese quail). RNAcentral describes it as "lncRNA (ENSCJPG00005011587.1)". The record is from RNAcentral. Lineage: Eukaryota; Metazoa; Chordata; Aves; Galliformes; Phasianidae.
GGACUUUUUCAUUUUCAUUUCUUUCAUAUUCUUUCAAAUUUACAAAAUAUUUGAAGUCUGCUCUCGGUGUCCUUUUUCAUGAAAAUGUGGAUAAACAAGAUAUAUAUCUCUGCAGACAGCUUUUACUUUAAUUCCCCUGCUACUGGUAAAUUUGAUUAGGAAAAAUAAAAGCGUUCAACAAAUAUUUUAAAAAUCUACCAGCUGAUUAAAUCACACUUUCUCUCUAUCUUGUUGGAAUAUGAGGUUGACUUGGGCAUCAUUUUAAAUCUUCUAGUUUAGAUUAUGAUCUUUAAAAUGACAUUAAGCUUGCUUUGAUGUUCCAUGUAAGUAUAGGACAAAAGCCUGAGAAUUAAAUGAUUGCUCACGUUGUAGCGUCAUAAUAGCAUAGCCUCAAAGUCCAACCAAAAGAUAGCAAAUGAAUCUAUUCCAGAAAUGUUUGUGCUCCUCCAAUGAAUCAUGUCACCAGUUCUGCCAGAAAGAAAGAAAAAGUGCUCAAAAUCUCAAAACACAUUUUUUGACAGGACUGAGAGCAGUAUCUGAAGUCUGCUUUACUUAACAUUUUCUGACACUGUUUUAACUGUCCUAUUCUUUGAGGUAUAUAUGUAUGUGGGAAGACCUUGGUGUCAGAAGCUGGAAUUCUGUCUUGUUUUUGAAAGGUUGUGCCAUUCUGGAGCUGAGUAGAGGCAAACUGCAGGUGCUCAUGGCAGAUAGGCAUGGGGUUAAGGAAUGCUCGAAAACUGCUCACUCUUCAAGAAGAAAAAAAGCAGUGUCUGAGAUAGCUUUCUGCUCUCCAUUUCACCGCCUGCGUUUGGAGGAGCUGCAUUGGUUUUGACAGCAUUCACACCAGUCUUUCUGAGAUGAGACUCUGGUUCAUUGCCUUGCACAGUCUAAAACCGCACGGGUCCUUAUAUUCAAUAAAAUAUUGAUAGUCUUUUUGCUGCUUUCA